UAAAAUCAUAAAAUUCAAUUCAGCAUAUAAACUCAUACAUAAUUAGAAUUAACUAUGUCGAUUUGCUUAUAAACUUACCUCGGACGAUGAAAAACGGAACAGAAUGACUAGUCGACAACUUUAGUUUUCCCCCGAUCCAAAUUCGAUUUCUUUGAUUCUUGAUCUAAACAUAUUCAAAUUAAAACCAUUCAAACAUAUUUUCAUUCAAUUUAGUCCAAAAACACAUAAAUAGGAAAAUUACCAUUUUACCCCUGAUAUUUUACAUUUUUUACAAUAUAGUCCAAAUUGCAUAAAACACAAAACAUGCAAAAUUUGCA
RNAcentral lists this long non-coding RNA (317 nucleotides) under Gossypium barbadense (sea-island cotton). RNAcentral's name for it is "long non-coding RNA (GBAR_LNC000745)". The record is from RNAcentral. Lineage: Eukaryota; Viridiplantae; Streptophyta; Magnoliopsida; Malvales; Malvaceae.